GAUGAACGCUGGCGGCGUGCCUAAUACAUGCAAGUCGAGCGAACAGACGAGGAGCUUGCUCCUCUGACGUUAGCGGCGGACGGGUGAGUAACACGUGGAUAACCUACCUAUAAGACUGGGAUAACUUCGGGAAACCGGAGCUAAUACCGGAGAAUAUAUUGAACCGCAUGGUUCAAUAGUGAAAGACGGCUUUGCUGUCACUUAUAGAUGGAUCCGCGCCGCAUUAGCUAGGUGGUAAGGUAACGGCUUACCAAGGCAACGAUGCGUAGCCGAGCUGAGAGGGUGAUCGGCCACACUGGAACUGAGACACGGUCCAGACUCCUAAGGGAGGCAGCAGGUGGGAAUCAUCCGCAAUGGGCGAAAGGCUGACGGAGGAACGCCGCGUGAGUGAUGAAGGUCUUCGGAGCGUAAAACUCUGUUAGUAGGGAAGAACAAAUGUGUGAGUAACUAUGCACGUCUUGACGGUACCUAAUCAGAAAGGCACGGCUAACUACGUG
This 497-nucleotide ribosomal RNA is filed under the name uncultured bacterium. Its description in RNAcentral is "partial 16S ribosomal RNA". It matches the Rfam family "Bacterial small subunit ribosomal RNA", at positions 28 to 507 of the family's 1533-position model. The record is from RNAcentral.